This 307-nucleotide ribosomal RNA is filed under the name Lembulus pella. RNAcentral describes it as "eukaryotic LSU rRNA". It matches the Rfam family "Eukaryotic large subunit ribosomal RNA", at positions 666 to 946 of the family's 3401-position model. The record is from RNAcentral. Lineage: Eukaryota; Metazoa; Mollusca; Bivalvia; Nuculanida sp.; Nuculanidae.
CCAAGGAGUCUAACAUGUGCGCGAGUCAUGGGGUUCUACGAAACCUAAAGGCGCAAUGAAAGUGAAGGCCGCCUCCGGCUGGCCUAGGUAGGAUCCGUCGACCCGUCGGCGGCGCACUACCGGCCCGUUCCGUCAGCACCGUCUGUGGAGCGGAGCAAGAGCGUACACGUUGGGACCCGAAAGAUGGUGAACUAUGCCUGAGUAGGAUGAAGCCAGAGGAAACUCUGGUGGAGGUCCGUAGCGAUUCUGACGUGCAAAUCGAUCGUCAAACUUGGGUAUAGGGGCGAAAGACUAAUCGAACCAUCUA